This 553-nucleotide ribosomal RNA is filed under the name uncultured archaeon. Its description in RNAcentral is "bacterial SSU rRNA". It matches the Rfam family "Archaeal small subunit ribosomal RNA", at positions 326 to 879 of the family's 1478-position model. The record is from RNAcentral.
CGGGGUGCAGCAGGCGCGAAAACUUUACAAUGCUGGAAACAGCGAUAGGGGGACUUUGAGUGCCAGGAUACAAUUCUGGCNGUCGUCGUGCCUAAAAAGCACGGCAUAGCAAGGGCCGGGCAAGACCGGUGCCAGCCGCCGCGGUAACACCGGCGGCUCGAGUGGUAACCGCUAUUAUUGGGUCUAAAGGGUCUGUAGCCGGCUGAAAAAGUCUCUUGGGAAAUCCGGCAGCUUAACUGUCGGGCUUUCAGGAGAUACUCUUCGGCUCGAGACCGGGAGAGGUGAGAGGUACUUCAUGGGUAGGGGUGAAAUCUUGUAAUCCUUGAAGGACCACCAGUGGCGAAGGCGUCUCACCAGAACGGAUCUGACGGCAAGGGACGAAAGCUAGGGGCACGAACCGGAUUAGAUACCCGGGUAGUCCUAGCCGUAAACGAUACUCGCUAGGUGUCGGCCACGGUGCGACCGUGGUCGGUGCCGUAGGGAAGCCGUGAAGCGAGCCACCUGGGAAGUACGGCCGCAAGGCUGAAACUUAAAGGAAUUGGCGGGGGAGCAC